Molecule: ribosomal RNA, 509 nt
Filed under: uncultured bacterium
Lineage: Bacteria
Description: partial 16S ribosomal RNA
Rfam family: Bacterial small subunit ribosomal RNA
Source: RNAcentral
ACGAACGCUGGCGGCGUGCUUAACACAUGCCAGUCGCACGAAGAGCGACGGAAGCUUGCUUCUAUCAAUCUUAGUGGCGAACGGGUGAGUAACGCGUAAUCAACCUGCCCUUCAGAGGGGGACAACAGUUGGAAACGACUGCUAAUACCGCAUACGAUCUAACCUCGGCAUCGAGGAUAGAUGAAAGGUGGCCUCUACAUGUAAGCUAUCACUGAAGGAGGGGAUUGCGUCUGAUUAGCUAGUUGGAGGGGUAACGGCCCACCAAGGCGAUGAUCAGUAGCCGGUCUGAGAGGAUGAACGGCCACAUUGGGACUGAGACACGGCCCAGACUCCUACGGGAGGCAGCAGUGGGGAAUCUUCCGCAAUGGACGAAAGUCUGACGGAGCAACGCCGCGUGAGUGAUGACGGCCUUCGGGUUGUAAAGCUCUGUUAAUCGGGACGAAAGGCCUUCUUGCGAAUAGUGAGAAGGAUUGACGGUACCGGAAUAGAAAGCCACGGCUAACUACGUG